ACUCUUCAAGUGUCUUGGGAUGAGUCGGUUUCUCUUUCCCCUCCCUCUUCAAGUCUCUCUCCCUCCUUUCCCUCCCGUCCCACCCUCCUUUUUCCUCCCUCCAUUUCUUUUGAAACACCCUCCGGGAAAUUCUCCCAAACCCGACUCAGCUCUUCCGGCAACCCCGCAGGAGUCUGCUACUCUGGGCCACAACAGGAGCCACCCCCAACUCUUCAGAACCACAUCUCCUCUCCAACACUGCACAGGAACAUCCCCUGGCCAAGAGGUCUCUCCCCAGCCUUCCCACUCGGCUCACCUCGUCCUCAUCCAGCAUGAGAAGCUGGUUCCCCGAGAUGAUGCAGAACCGUGGGUUCCAACCAGGACGAUCAUAUGGGGAAUGAACGUAUUGGGUU
Molecule: long non-coding RNA, 392 nt
Organism: Zalophus californianus (California sea lion)
Lineage: Eukaryota; Metazoa; Chordata; Mammalia; Carnivora; Otariidae
Exons: 3
Source: RefSeq, a predicted model, not a curated record